Canis lupus familiaris (dog) is the source of this 407-nucleotide long non-coding RNA. RefSeq lists it as uncharacterized. NCBI's taxonomy places the organism in Eukaryota, Metazoa, Chordata, Mammalia, Carnivora, Canidae. The record is from RefSeq and is a predicted model, not a curated record. The transcript is spliced from 3 exons.
AGGCGCCAAACCGCUGCACCAUCCAGGGAUCCCAGACUUCUUGUUUCCUGAGACUGUUGUGCCCAAGAUUGUGAAUCCGAAAAACCAUGGAGAAGCCCACACCGAAGCAAACACACGAGGGUUUAUUUACAAGCUCGAGCUUGUGUCCAAGUAUACCUGACAGUGCGGAGCAGGGACUUCGACCCCGAGAGGAAGAAUCAGGGAUUCACCAGUUGGAGAUAACAGCAAUGCUCGUGACAUCACGUGACCUCCUUCAUGCAGGUCCCCUGUUAACCUCCCUGCCUCCAACGACCAUCAGUUUGUUUCCUAUCAUUAAGAGUCUGUAUUUCGGGGAUCCCUGGGUGGCGCUGCGGUUUGGCGCCUGCCUUUGGCCCAGGGCGCGAUCCUGGAAACCCGGGAUCGAAUCC